GCAAGUCGAGCGGAAACGACACUAACAAUACUUCGGGAGCGUUAAUGGGCGUCGAGCGGCGGACGGGUGAGUAAUGCCUAGGAAAUUGCCUUGAUGUGGGGGAUAACCAUUGGAAACGAUGGCUAAUACCGCAUAAUGCCUACGGGCCAAAGAGGGGGACCUUCGGGCCUCUCGCGUCAAGAUAUGCCUAGGUGGGAUUAGCUAGUUGGUGAGGUAAUGGCUCACCAAGGCGACGAUCCCUAGCUGGUCUGAGAGGAUGAUC
RNAcentral lists this ribosomal RNA (262 nucleotides) under uncultured bacterium. RNAcentral describes it as "partial 16S ribosomal RNA". It matches the Rfam family "Bacterial small subunit ribosomal RNA", at positions 57 to 305 of the family's 1533-position model. The record is from RNAcentral.